UACGAAGGGGACUAGCGUUGUUCGGAAUUACUGGGCGUAAAGCGCACGUAGGCGGAUUUGUAAGUCAGGGGUGAAAUCCCGGGGCUCAACCUCGGAACUGCCUUUGAUACUGCAAAUCUCGAGUCCGAUAGAGGUGGGUGGAAUUCCCGGUGUAGUGGUGAAAUGCGUAGAGAUCGGGAGGAACACCUGUGGCGAAGGCGGCUCGCUGGGCCGGCCCUGACACUGAGACGCGAAGGCGUGGGGAGCGAACGGG
Molecule: ribosomal RNA, 253 nt
Filed under: uncultured bacterium
Lineage: Bacteria
Description: partial 16S ribosomal RNA
Rfam family: Bacterial small subunit ribosomal RNA
Source: RNAcentral